GCGGGUGUAGUAUAAUGGUCAUUACCUCAGCCUUCCAAGUUGAUGAUACGGGUUCGAUUCCCGUCUCCCGCU
RNAcentral lists this transfer RNA (72 nucleotides) under Candidatus Arsenophonus lipoptenae. Its description in RNAcentral is "Arsenophonus symbiont of Lipoptena fortisetosa tRNA". It matches the Rfam family "tRNA". From Rfam's summary of the family: Transfer RNA (tRNA) molecules are approximately 80 nucleotides in length. Their secondary structure includes four short double-helical elements and three loops (D, anti-codon, and T loops). Lineage: Bacteria; Pseudomonadati; Pseudomonadota; Gammaproteobacteria; Enterobacterales; Morganellaceae. The record is from Rfam by way of RNAcentral.